UUUUUUUUUUUUUUUUUGAGAUGGAGUCUUGCUCUGUCACCCAAUGGAGUGCAGUGGCAUGAUCUCAGCUCCCUGCAAUCUCCACUUCCUGGGUUCAAGCCAUUUUCCUGUCUCAGCCUCCUGAGUAGCUGGGAUUACACGCACACCACCACGCCCAGCUAAUUCCUGCAUUUUUAGUAGACAUGGGGUUUCCCCAUAUUGGCCAGGCUGGUCUCAAGCUCAUGACUUCAGGUGAUCUGCCUGCCUCAGCCUCCCAAAGUGUUGGAUUACCAGUGUGAGCCACCAUGCCUAGCCACCAAAUCAUUUUUGACAAAGGUGCCAAGACCAUCCAAUGAGGAAAGGACAGUCUCUUCAACUAAUGGCACUGGGACCAGUAGAUACUCACAUGCAAAUUAAUAAAUUGAACCCUUAUCUCACACCAUAUAUAAAAAUUUACUCAAAUCACAAAACUGAACAUAAGAACUAAACUGAAAACUCUUAGGAUAAUGCAUACAGGAAAAGUUUUAUGGCAUUGGGUUUAGCAACGAUUUUUCUGAUAUUAUGCCAAAUGCACAGGUAACAAAAGAAAAACUAGAUAAAUUUGACUUCAUCAAAAUUAAAAGCUUUUGUGCAUCAGUGAACACUAUCAAGUGAGUGAAAAAGCAAUCCACAGAAUGGGAGAAAAUAUUUGCAAAUUAUAUCUGAUAAGGAAUUAACAUACAGACUAUAUUACCCAGUCUGUAACAGCAGCAGAAAACAACUCAAUUCAAAAAUGGGCAAAGAAUAUGAAUAGGCUUUCUUUAAAGAAGAUAUACAAAUGGGCAAUAAACAUGAAAAGACUCUCAACAUCACCAGUCAUAAAAGAAAUGCAAAUCAAAACCACAAUGAGACACCACUUCACACCCAUUAGGAUGGCUGUUAUUAAAAGUAAUGGAAAAUAACAAGUGUUUACGAGGAUGUGAAGACAUUGGGAUCCUUGCUUACAGGAAUACAAAAUGGUGCAACCACUGUGGAAAACAGUUUGAUGGGUCCUCAGAAAGUUCAACAUAGAAUGGCCAUAUAAUCUAGCAAUUCCACUUCUAAGUAUAUUCCAAAAAGAGUUAAAAGAAAGGAUCACACAGAUACUUGUAUAUCAAUGUUCACAGCAGCAUGAAUUAUUCACAAUAACCAAAAGGUGGAAACAAUCCAUCAGUGGAUUAAUGGAUAAACAAAGGUGGUGUGUGCACACAAUGGAAUAUCAUUCAGCCUUAAAAAGGAAAGGAAUUCUGACACACACAACAGCACAGAUGAACCCUGAAGGCAUCACGCUAAGUGAAAUACGCCAGUCACAAAAAGACAAAUACUGUAGGAUUUCAUCACAUUAGGUCCCUAGGGUUGUUACAUUCAUAGAGACAGAAAGUAGAAUGGUGGUUGCCAGGGGCUGGGGGUGGGACAAAUGAGGAAGUCUUGUUUAAUGAGCUGAGAGUUUGUGUUUGGGAAGAUGAAAAAUUCUAUGUGGUGGUGAUAGUGUGAAUGCGCUUAACACUACCAAACUGCAUACUUAAAAAUUGUUCAACGAUCCAUUUUAUGUUAUGUGUAUUUUAUCACAGAAUAAAUAAACAGAAAUGUUGUGCAACGCUAUAGACCACGUCCAUCUUGGAAAGUCACGAUGUGUAUUGAAUCUUGUCAUAAAGAACUCCAUUUAGCCGUGUUUGGCCCAGUGUUUCUCAAAGACACUGAGCAGGGUCUGUUUAUUUCUGCACGUGGGCAGUGGUCAGAGGGAUUCCAGUUUCAGAAGUGGCUCUCGGGAGAUUUUACAGCACAGAGGGUUGAAGUCACUGCUAAACUGAUGCACGCAGUCAAAUUAAAGAGUUUAUUAGGGCAGCAUUUUUGAAGCAGAACAAAACAGUUGCAUGUAAAGAUGGUUCUGAAGAUCCCAAGAGAAGAAACAAAGGGGGAUUGGUUUUGGGAGGAAAAACAGAAAGGUGCUCCUCUCCUAAAGAAGUCAUCAUUCCUGUAUUUUUGUUUUCCUUGCUGACAAAACAUGGAAGAAAAUCCAUGACAUGAGGUAUGAAGCAGAAGUCAUGCCCAACACUUCUUAGAGUAGCAAAGGAGAAGUGGCAAAGCAAAAGCAUGUUUGGGGGGACUGGAGGUGGCAAUUGGUGUGACUGACAGCCAGAUGAUCUCAGGAGCGACAGCACGCACGAGCCCCUAACACGCUCAGGAGGUCAGAUUUCCGAGGGUUCCAUCAUCUCGAAGUGGCUUCCCAGCCAAUUCGGAGCCCGUGGUUGAUCUGUUUCUGGGAAGGGUAAGAACUCGGGGCCUCAAACCUUCUGCCCUCCAGGCUUUGAAGUGAUCACUCCUUCCUCACUGUGAGCCCCAUUCUGGUGAAAUGCACAAAUGAUCCUAAUGCAAUCGCAAUGCCAUAUGUUCUUUUCAGUCAGUGGUGGGAAUUCCUGAAAAAGCAAAAUUAAAAAUGGGGGCAGGGACCCUUUCAUUGGUGCAGCCGAACUCUACAGCUGCGGCUGCAAAAAAAAGCCAAGACAAAAACUGGAGACUGCGCCCCAGGCCAGGCCAGGCCAGGCAGCGGCUGGGAUGGAGCCCGGCCCGGAAGGCUGCGGAAUCAAUGGCACACACACAGCGGCGCGCAGGUCUCCGUUCCACAGGGAAGGCCCCUGGGAUUUGCAGAGUCUCAGGAAAGCCUGCAGGCCGAUGGGCCCUCUGCACUUCCUGUUUGGUUACUUUGCAUCUUUCAUCUCUGAUGGACCCCGACACGUGGGCCUUCCCCAACUGCCCCACGUGUGUCUACCCUCGACCCUCAGGACGCAGGGCAGGACAUGGCGAUUGGCUCUUACGAGCGGCUCUUCUACAGCUGUCCAAUUAAUGAGCACUGAGGGUGCACACUUGGCGGCCACUUCUGAGUUAUACCUAAUUGUGCUUACAGCUGGAAAGGAAAAAAAAAACACCUGCUCUUCCCUUUCUUCCCCUCCCUCUCUCCUCCCUUCCUGGGUGCACUGCCCUGCAAGGGCCCGUCUUUGUUAUCAAACGUGGGGUGCACCCAGCUUACCCCACUCAUAGUACUCUCCAAAUAGGUGCCUUUUCAAUGGCAAAAUCCAAUGGAAACAAAUUCAGUCCAAGGGUCAAUUAUGGGCUUAUUUUCAUAUUUAUGGAUGGAAUACUUUUCCCCAAAAGACGUUAAUGAUAGCCUAAAGCACAGGCUAAUCAAAACACCAGCCACUGAAUGGGAAGAAGGCAAAGGAAGCGCGUGCUCCGCCGCUCUCCGCACGCGGAAUGGUUACAUCCUGCACAGUUUCCCACCUCAAUCUCUUUCCAAAUGAAUGCUUUCUAAAAUGUCUUGACAAAAGUCAGCAUCUCCACCAAAAAAAAAAAAAAAUCUUAUUAUUCCCCAUUCUCCAUUCUCCACUGGCAGAAAUGACAACCUGGAACAAAUCACAUCUUUUGGUGUGGGCCUGUUAGCCGUCUGUCUUGGAGAAAGCCGGCAGCGCAGUUCCUGCAGGUCACCUCUGCGGUGCUAUUUCCGGGAUAUUUAACAGUAUCUGGGGCUUUGCUUACCUUCGCUCAGGUACACUCUUUGUAUCAGGUGAAUUUGGGGUGAUGAGCUCGAAGGUGGCAUUUGCAUCUAAGCUGCAGGUUCCAUUUAGCCCCACAUACACUGUCAAGGCCACCACGGGAACAUGGCUGUGGUACAACUUCAUCAUGUCGUUCAACAAAUUUGUUUUAACUGAUAUCCGAUUUCACGAUCGUCUUACAUUUAUUUAUCUAAAAUGUACUUACGUUGUAAUUAUAAAUGCUCCAUGAAACAAUUGCUAGUAUGAAAGAUGUAUGUGUAAGUUUUAUAAGAUAUUAUCGGGUGGGCACGGUGACUCAUGCUUGUAAUCCCAGAGGAGGCCGAGGUGGGUGGAUCACCCCAGGUCAGGAGUUUGAGACCAGCCUGUCCAACAUGACGAAACCUUGUCUCUACUAAAAACACAAAAAUUAGCCAGGCAUGGUGGUGCACGCCUGUAAUCCCAGCUACUGGGGAGGCUGAGGCAAGAGAAUCGCUUGAACCUGGGAGGUACAGGGUGCAGUGAGCUGAGAUCACGCCAUUGCACUCCAGCCUGGGCAACAGGGUGAGACUCUAUCUCAAAAAAAAAAAAAAGAAAGAAAAAGAAUUGUAUAAUAUUAAUAUUUUUGGACAAAUAUGAGUUGGUUUACUGUGUUGCUGGGACCUAUUUUAAAAAUGUGCUACCCUCCCCUCAUCUUCAAAUCAUUGUGGUCCAUGGGUCCUUUCUCACAUGGAAGUUCCGUCCUCUCAGCUGUGGAAGUGACACUGUUAAGUGACUUCUUUCCUGAUUCUGAUUUUCAAGCCUUAAAUACAGCCCAUGUGCAGCUCUCUUUUUUGCUCCCUGACCUGACCUGUGCCACUUCUCACCAUUUAAUAACUAAACUUUAAGAUGCAAUACUUGUAUCUACAAAUUAUCAAUGAUGCUAACACAGGUCAGCUUUAUUUCUGCAAAUACGUACAGCUCCCACCUAUUGAGCACGUACCCUGGGCCAGAGCCUACACGAAGCACUUUAUGUAGAUUAUCUCAUUUAAUCCUCACAUCAGCUCCUUGAGGAAGGACAUGCUAUUGGUCAGCCUCAAAUUUCAGAUGAGGAAACUGAGUCUCAAAGAGGUUACAGAAUGGCCAGGUCAUGUGUCUAAUCACACAGGUAAAUUGGAUUCAGCACAGGAUUGACCUGGCUCCCAGAUUAGCACUCUUAAGUGUCACCAAAGCUGCCUUCCGUCCUGAUGGAGGCACAGAUGUGUGCUGAGCACAUUUGGGCCGAGCCCGCCACGUGGCCCAGGGAUGGAGAAGCAUCUCCCCUCCACCAGGACCUCUCAGUCAGCUGAGGAGGAGAGACACAGCCUGCUGGGAGAGCUGCUCGAGGUAUUUAUAAGAUUCCAAAACAGAUGACCAAGUGGGUGUGCCUGUGACGUCACCCCGCCUGGCCAAGGGUCAGCUCACGUGUGAAGAGCUUAUCACGGGCAGACAGAGCAAAAUGGGUGUGCAGGUUCAGCAAGGGCACCCACUGUCCAGGGUUCCCCCUGAAACCAUCAUCUAUGAAACAACCAACACUAAACAAGUUCAUUUUGGUUUUGGCCUUGUGCUAACUGCCAGAGAAUCAGCAGCAUAGUAGUGAUCAGGUUACCUUACUUGGCCAAGAUGAAGGGAUAUUACAAGUGUGAUCAAGGCCUCCAACAACAGGCUUUGAGUUCAUCAAAGGAAACCAUAAUUAAUAGGCCCAACGUAAUCAGGUGAGCCCUUGAAAGAGACUGGAAGCCAAAGAGGUGUUCUCCUGCUGACCUCAAAGAGGCAAACUGUCGUGUGGUGGAGGGGCCCCAGGGCAGGCAGCAAAAACAAGGGGGGCAGCCUCUUGUUUUUGAGGGUGUCAAUUCUACCACACAAGCAAUCGGCUUCAGCCAACCCCAGAGCUUGGAAGGGAGCACCCUGAGCCCCUGGAAAGAUCACAGCAAGGGCCGUUGCCUUGACUUCAGCCUGGCGAGUCCCUAAACAGAGAACCCAGACUUCCUAACCACAGAACCUGAGAUUAACAGGUCACUGUUUACUGGAGUAAGUUUGGGAUUAAUUUGUUACUUAGCAAUGGAAAACAAAUAUGUAAGGUCAUCAAGAAAAAUCAAGAAGCAAUAGAAAAGGGUGAGGGAGUCUAUGAGCAAAGAAAUGCUGUGCAGUUCAAGCUCACACCAAUGCCACUGAGGUGACACUAUCCAGCCUGCAGCAGCUCGCAGCACCCAUCCCUGGAAAUGAGAGGAGUGUCAUUUGGAGUAUGAAGCUCAUUUCAUGAAAUAUUGAUAUUAAAGCUGAUUUUGCAAUGAAUUCAAUCUAGACUCAUUUUAAUGAAAAGAAUUGUAACCAAAAUAUGUGACAAUCAUCUCCCUUAGGAAACCUUUCCUAGAGCUUGAAAGCUCCUGGUGUCCUGGGCCCUUUUGUGAUCCCCACUACAGCCCCCAUGACUCUAUGCUUAGCCAGUUUGCAAAAUUUAACCUGCAACUGUAGUCUUCAUGUUGUUUUCUAAUAUUUAUGAAAAUACCAAACAUCUAGCAGCAAAUGUUGGUUCAAUGAAUGAACACAUGCAUGGAUGAGAUUAUAGGAGGAAAACUACGUUUGCUUCUAGGUACCUGGAAAUUGAACACAAACAAUGAGUUCACUGGAAGCUGCAGGAGGGCAGAGACAGAUGAUGUCUGUCAUCAUCACCAUAAGUGAUAUUGGGCUCCUAGCCCACCACCUGUCACGUGGGGGACCCUUAUUUUGUGAGCCUGUGUUCACCAACCAAUCUUGUUGACUGAGGUUGGUGGAGCUAAAAGAAAGAAGGGUGAACUAAGUCAAGAUUUAAACUAAGACAAGCAAAGACUCAAACAGCUGAAAAUAUGGAAGUGGACAUAGCUAGUGAUGAUGAAGGCAGGGUGAAGUAGACAUUUAGUCCAAAGUAGACACCAAAUUGAAUAACUAGAGGAUACACAGUCUAGAACAUGAACUGAACAUCGCCAAAAUACCAAACACAAAACAAUCACAACAGUCCCAGAAUAUGACCUGAUGUUUCCUUGAUUAUCCAGAUCAGGGGGCUCACUGAAAUCCUUUUCAUUUCAACAUGGCAGAAUGAAGAAUGAAGAUUGCUGGGUCUGCCACCUGUUGGAUUCACCUGUUGGAUCCACCUUCUAAACUCAAGAGGGAGCCAUGGACUUGCUCUCCACACCCUCAUCCCAACCCAAGGAGAGGAACUAGGAUUCGGGUUGGGGCCACACAUAAUAAUGGUUUCAGUGAGACUUUUGGUGAACAGAGGAAAGAACCCCUCGCUUCUGGUUCUCUGAGGAGUACCUGUCCCAGGGCCUAAGCAGGAACCUGUUGGGGCUCCUGGCGAAGGAUGCAGGGUUUCCACCUGUCUCCUCAAGGCCAAAUGAAUCCUCUUGACCCUUGUACACUCUAAUCUAACUGCCUUGGCUAGCCCAGUGAGGCCCGUGAUGGUAAGAAAAACUGUUCAUUGACCAAGCAACCUCUCUGCACAUCUCUUUUGGAAAUCUGUGCUGUGAGUGGGUGAAGCACAUAGCAGUUCUGGAUUCCAGCCAGAUACCUACUUGUUUCUACCUUGGACAGUCAAUCCAAAUCUUUCACAACUUACUUUCCUCUUGUCUAGACCCUUACUUUCUUCUUGUCAUGGAGCUGAAAAUUGGUGGUAAUGGAGGACACCCCAAUACAGUUGAACCCCAUGAGGCAACUAAUAUGUUAUUCUUCCAACUCAAACGUAUGAUUGAUCUCAGGUAUCCACCAGUGCAUUUGCUGAUUUAACAACUUAAAAGAGACAUUUGAAAAUGCCUUUCUUGAUAUUUUUGUGAACAAGAGAUGAGAGAGGAGACCUGUCUCAUGAGGGGUGUUUGUACUUGAUCAAGCAAGUCUAAUGACAAUACAGUUUAUUAGGCCCCUUCCACAUAUUGAGCAUGGAGGGAGGAACAUCCCAUGUGCUUUUAUAAUUUUGAUUCACAAAGUAACUGAGGUUCAUGCAAUAGUCCAGACUUCAGCCUCUGAAUUCCAGGUUCUCU
This is a long non-coding RNA of Macaca fascicularis (crab-eating macaque), 7555 nucleotides long. The record is from Ensembl. NCBI's taxonomy places the organism in Eukaryota, Metazoa, Chordata, Mammalia, Primates, Cercopithecidae.